CAAUAGCGUAUAUUAAAGUUGUUGCGGUUAAAAAGCUCGUAGUUGGAUUUCUGUCGAGGACGACCGGUCCGCCCACUGGGUGAGUAUCUGGCUCGGCCUGGACAUCUUCUUGGAGAACGUAGCUGCACUUGAUUGUGUGGUGCGGUAUCCAGGACAUUUUACUUUGAGGAAAUUAGAGUGUUUCAAGCAGGCAUACGCCUUGAAUACAUUAGCAUGGAAUAAUAAUAUAGGACCUUGGUUCUAUUUUGUGGUUUCUAGAGCUAAGGUAAUGAUUAAUAGGGAUAAUUGGGGGCAUUCGUAUUAACGCGUCAGAGGUGGAAUUCUUGGAUUGCGUUACGACGAACUACUGCGAAAGCAUUUGCCAAGGAUGUUUUUCAUUGAUCAAGAACGAAAGUAAGGGGAUCGAAGACGAUUAGAU
Molecule: ribosomal RNA, 418 nt
Filed under: uncultured eukaryote
Lineage: Eukaryota
Description: SSU rRNA
Rfam family: Eukaryotic small subunit ribosomal RNA
Source: RNAcentral